GCUGGCGGCGUGGAUAAGACAUGCAAGUCGAACGGAGUUGUUUGGUAGCAAUAUUGAAUAAUUCAGUGGCGAACGGGUGCGUAACACGUGGGUCACAUUCUGGGAAGCGGGGGAUAACCCAGGGAAACUUGGAUUAAUACCCCAUGUGGUCGCGAGACCAAAGGCGCAAGCCGCUUCCUGAUUGGCCCGCGGCCUAUCAGCUAGUUGGUGGGGUAACGGCUCACCAAGGCUACGACGGGUAGCUGGUCUAAGAGGACGACCAGCCACACUGGAACUGAGACACGGUCCAGACACCUACGGGUGGCAGCAGUCGAGAAUCUUUCACAAUGGGGGCAACCCUGAUGGAGCGACGCCGCGUGGAGGAUAAGGUCUUCGGAUUGUAAACUCCUGUCAUGCGAGAACAAAGCCUCACGGCCUGAUAGUAUCGCAAGAGGAAGAGACGGCUAACUCUGUGCCAGCAGCCGCGGUAAUACAGAGGUCUCAAGCGUUGUUCGGAAUCACUGGGCGUAAAGGGUGCGUAGGCGGCGCGGAAAGUCAGAUGUGAAAUCCGGAGGCUCAACCUCCGAAUUGCAUCCG
Molecule: ribosomal RNA, 576 nt
Filed under: uncultured bacterium
Lineage: Bacteria
Description: bacterial SSU rRNA
Rfam family: Bacterial small subunit ribosomal RNA
Source: RNAcentral